ACGGGUGAGUAACGCGUGGGAAUCUACCUUUUGCUACGGAAUAACUCAGGGAAACUUGUGCUAAUACCGUAUGUGCCCCCCUUUAAAAUUUCAGGAUACCUAAAAUGCCCUGGCAUUUUAUGGGGGGGAAAGAUUUAUCGGCAAAGGAUGAGCCCGCGUUGGAUUAGCUAGUUGGUGGGGUAAAGGCCCACCAAGGCGACGAUCCAUAGCUGGUCUGAGAGGAUGAUCAGCCACACUGGGACUGAGACACGGCCCAGACUCCUACGGGAGGCAGCAGUGGGGAAUAUUGGACAAUGGGCGCAAGCCUGAUCCAGCCAUGCCGCGUGAGUGAUGAAGGCCCUAGGGUUGUAAAGCUCUUUCACCGGUGAAGAUAAUGACGGUAACCGGAGAAGAAGCCCCGGCUAACUUCGUGCCAGCAGCCGCGGUAAUACGAAGGGGGCUAGCGUUGUUCGGAUUUACUGGGCGUAAAGCGCACGUAGGCGGACUUUUAAGUCAGGGGUGAAAUCCCAGAGCUCAACUCUGGAACUGCCUUUGAUACUGGAAGUCUUGAGUAUGGUAGAGGUGAGUGGAAUUCCGAGUGUAGAGGUGAAAUUCGUAGA
This 599-nucleotide ribosomal RNA is filed under the name uncultured bacterium. RNAcentral's name for it is "bacterial SSU rRNA". It matches the Rfam family "Bacterial small subunit ribosomal RNA", at positions 102 to 694 of the family's 1533-position model. The record is from RNAcentral.